Molecule: ribosomal RNA, 254 nt
Filed under: uncultured bacterium
Lineage: Bacteria
Description: partial 16S ribosomal RNA
Rfam family: Bacterial small subunit ribosomal RNA
Source: RNAcentral
UACGAAGGGUGCAAGCGUUACUCGGAAUUACUGGGCGUAAAGCGUGCGUAGGUGGUUCGUUAAGUCUGAUGUGAAAGCCCUGGGCUCAACCUGGGAACUGCAUUGGAUACUGGCGAUCUGGAGUGCGGUAGAGGGUGGCGGAAUUCCCGGUGUAGCAGUGAAAUGCGUAGAUAUCGGGAGGAACAUCCGUGGCGAAGGCGGCCACCUGGACCAGCACUGACACUGAGGCACGAAAGCGUGGGGAGCAAACAGGG